UUAGAUUGUCGUUCCAGAUAGUUAUACACAGUAUACCCCUUUGCCAAUCAGUGACCUUGAUUCUUGGUUGAAGACACCCUCCAUAUAUGUUUUUGAUUGCUCUGCGGCUGGGGGAAUAUUGUGAAUGCUUUUAUUGAGCUUCAUGAUUGGGUUGCUUCUAGCUCCUCUGGAUCCACAAGGGAUUGCAUUCUACUUGGAGCUUGUGAAGCACAUGAGACUCUUCCACAAAGUGCUGAAUUUCCUGCAGAUGUGUUUACGUCUUGUCUCACAACACCUAUUAAGAUGGCUUUGAUAUGGUGAGCUUCUUUUCUUGUUC
Long non-coding RNA from Humulus lupulus (European hop), 316 nucleotides. RefSeq lists it as uncharacterized. The record is from RefSeq and is a predicted model, not a curated record. NCBI's taxonomy places the organism in Eukaryota, Viridiplantae, Streptophyta, Magnoliopsida, Rosales, Cannabaceae. The transcript has 3 exons.